GAUGAAGAACGUAGCGAAAUGCGAUAAGUAAUGCGAAUUGCAGAAUUCCAGUGAGUCAUCGAAUCUUUGAACGCACAUUGCGCCCUUUGGUAUUCCGAAGGGCAUGCCUGUUCGAGCGUCAUUAUCACCCCUCAAGCCCUCGGCUUGGUGUUGGACGGUUUGGUGGAGGCCCCCUCGGGGGCUCCUGCCCCUCCCAAAGACAAUGACGGCGGCCUCGUUGGACCCCCGGUACACUGAGUUCUUCACGGGACACGUAUCGGACACAUGGGUUUACGGGACACGGUCUGCCUCCCCUCAGGGAGAAUCUUUCUAAGGUUGACCUCGGAUCAGGUAGGGAUACCCGCUGAACUUAAGCAUAUCAAUAAGCGGACGA
Molecule: unclassified non-coding RNA, 373 nt
Filed under: soil metagenome
Description: partial contains 5.8S ribosomal RNA, internal transcribed spacer 2, and large subunit ribosomal RNA
Rfam family: 5.8S ribosomal RNA (bases 1-121)
Source: RNAcentral